AACGAACGCUGGCGGCAUGCCUAACACAUGCAAGUCGAACGAGACCUUCGGGUCUUGUGGCGCACGGGUGCGUAACGCGUGGGAACCUGCCCUUAGGUUCGGAAUAACUCUCCGAAAGGGGUGCUAAUACCGGAUAAUGUCUUCGGACCAAAGAUUUAUCGCCUUUGGUUGUGCCCGCGUUGGAUUAGCUAGUUGGGAGGGUAAAAGCCUACCAAGGCGACGAUCCAUAGCUGGUCUGAGAGGUUGAUCAGCCACACUGAGACUGAGACACGGCCCGGACUCCUACGGGAGGGAGGAGUGGGGAAUAUUGGACAAUGGGCGGAAGCCUGAUCCAGCAAUGCCGCGUGAGUGAUGAAGGCCUUAGGGUUGUAAAGCUCUUUUACCCGGGAUGAUAAUGACAGUACCGGGAGAAUAAGCUCCGGCUAACUCCGUG
This 433-nucleotide ribosomal RNA is filed under the name uncultured bacterium. RNAcentral describes it as "partial 16S ribosomal RNA". It matches the Rfam family "Bacterial small subunit ribosomal RNA", at positions 29 to 507 of the family's 1533-position model. The record is from RNAcentral.